Callorhinus ursinus (northern fur seal) is the source of this 332-nucleotide non-coding RNA. The record is from RefSeq and is a predicted model, not a curated record. NCBI's taxonomy places the organism in Eukaryota, Metazoa, Chordata, Mammalia, Carnivora, Otariidae.
CUUCACUUGUGCGCGCACCUCGCUCCACUUUCUCUGCAACCAUGUCUGACAAACCCGAUAUGGCUGAGAUUGAGAAAUUCGAUAAGUCGAAAUUGAAGAAGACAGAAACGCAAGAGAAAAAUCCACUGCCUUCAAAAGAAACGACUGAACAGGAGAAGCAAGCCGGCGAAUCGUAAUGAGGCGCGCGCCGCCCAUAUGCACUGUACAUUCCACAAGCAUUGCCUUCUUAUUUUACUUCUUUUAGCUGUUUAACUUUGUAAGAUGCAAAGUGGUUGGAUAAGUUUAAAUGACUGUGCUACCCCUUUUCACAUCAAAGAAUCGAGAACUACUGA